CGAGGUAACAGGAAGUAUCCGCUCCGCGCCUGCACUGAAAUCCGAGGCCACGCCCGCGUUGAGCUGCCGAAGCGACCUGCCCACAACAACAACAAGCUGUCGCUUCCUCUGUCACUUCCUCUGCAGAAUUUGUCUGAUGGAGCAAAGGCACUUGGUGCAGCUUGGUAUCACAAGGCAACAAUGCGACCGGUGUGCAUACAGCACGGAUCGUCCUGAACAUUUGACACAGCACCAGAGAACUCACUCAGGAGAGAAACCCUUCAAGUGCAGUGUGUGUGGGAGGGCGUUUGCACAAUCA
Petromyzon marinus (sea lamprey) is the source of this 298-nucleotide non-coding RNA. The record is from RefSeq and is a predicted model, not a curated record. Lineage: Eukaryota; Metazoa; Chordata; Hyperoartia; Petromyzontiformes; Petromyzontidae.